RNAcentral lists this ribosomal RNA (376 nucleotides) under uncultured bacterium. RNAcentral's name for it is "bacterial SSU rRNA". It matches the Rfam family "Bacterial small subunit ribosomal RNA", at positions 28 to 412 of the family's 1533-position model. The record is from RNAcentral.
GACGAACGCUGGCGGCGUGCUUAACACAUGCAAGUCGAGCGGAAAGGCCCUUCGGGGUACUCGAGCGGCGAACGGGUGAGUAACACGUGAGUAACCUGCCCUUCACUUUGGGAUAACCCUCGGAAACGGGGGCUAAUACCGGAUAUGACAUGGGAUCGCAUGGUCUUGUGUGGAAAGUUUUUCGGUGGGGGAUGGCUCGCGGCCCAUCAGCUUGUUGGUGGGGUGAUGGCCUACCAAGGCGACGACGGGAGCCGGCCUGAGAGGGCGACCGGCCACACUGGGACUGAGACACGGCCCAGACUCCUACGGGAGGCAGCAGUGGGGAAUAUUGCACAAUGGCGGAAGCCUGAUGCAGCGACGCCGCGUGAGGGAUGAC